GGCCCAGCUGGAACAAGAGAGGAGGAUACGGGAGCAAAUGCAGGCGACGAUGGAGAGGGUGGAGGCCGAGCGGGAGGCCGAGCAGCGGAGGAUGGUGGAGAUUCUUCAGUACAUGCAAAGUAUUGGCGCCGCUACGGGUGUAGCUCCGCCACCUUCGCUAUUCGCUCCACCUCCACCUCCUCACUAUUCUACUCCUAAUCAAUCGGCGGCAUCGAACGAUCCUCAUGCUUCAGCGAAUCCUUCACCAAAUCAGUUUCAUUGACCAUCUUGGUGAUGAUACUUGUGGUUGUUAAUGGUACUUCUAUUUGCAAUUAUGGUUGUAGAUGAUGGAGCACUUGGAUUACUUGUGAACUUAUUUGUGAUAUAUUGUGAGACAUGUGAUGUUUGUGAUAUAUAUGUGGUGUUGAUGAUAUAUAUGUGCUGUUGAUGAUAUAUAUGUGAUGUUGGUGAUGUUUGUUAUAUAUAUAUAUCUGUUUGUUUG
Phragmites australis (common reed) is the source of this 481-nucleotide long non-coding RNA. RefSeq lists it as uncharacterized. The transcript has 2 exons. The record is from RefSeq and is a predicted model, not a curated record. NCBI's taxonomy places the organism in Eukaryota, Viridiplantae, Streptophyta, Magnoliopsida, Poales, Poaceae.